This 332-nucleotide ribosomal RNA is filed under the name uncultured bacterium. Its description in RNAcentral is "bacterial SSU rRNA". It matches the Rfam family "Bacterial small subunit ribosomal RNA", at positions 30 to 361 of the family's 1533-position model. The record is from RNAcentral.
AUUGAACGCUGGCGGCAUGCCUUACACAUGCAAGUCGAACGGCAGCGGACCUUCGGGUGCCGGCGAGUGGCGAACGGGUGAGUAAUAUAUCGGAACGUACCUUUCAGUGGGGGAGUAACGUAGCGAAAGUUAACGCUAAUACCGCAUAUUCUGUGAGCAGGAAAGCAGGGGAGUCGCAAGACCUUGCGCUGAUUGAGCGGCCGAUAUCAGAUUAGCUAGUUGGUGAGGCAAAGGCUCACCAAGGCGACGAUCUGUAGCGGGUCUGAGAGGAUGAUCCGCCACACUGGAACUGAGACACGGUCCAGACUCCUACGGGAGGCAGCAGUGGGGAA